This 61-nucleotide non-coding RNA is filed under the name Palpitomonas bilix. The record is from RNAcentral.
CUCUAUCUCGCGUACCUUCCGUCCACCCGUCCACGUCGGACGAGCUGGUGAUCGACCUGUC